CUUUUGCCUCUACCUCCCCAGUGCUUGGGUUACAAGUGUGUUCCCCAGGCCUGUUUUAUAUGACGGGACCUAAGCCAGCUCCUUGUACCUGCUAAGGGAGCCUCUUAGCACUGAGCUGCAUCCCUUUCUCUGCAGAGGAGUGUUGAUAAAGUUUGACAAGCAUGGUUAUCGGGAGAGGAAUGGAGAAAGUAAAGGAGGAUUGGGGAAAGGCUUUUAAUGCUUUGGACUUUUACAGGCAAAAUAAUGGGAAUGGAUCAAAAAAUUUUGUGGUUUUUUUUUUUUUUUUAAGAAUCAAACAGGCUUUUAUUAUUCACAUACUCGGUAGAAAACAGGGUUUAGUAAAUAGGGUGGAGCUAUGGAAGACUCUGGGUUGGUCUGGGUCUUAUUUACAGGUGGGGACAGCACUGUUCCUCACAUCAGGCACAACACAUGCACUUGUUCAGGGCGCCUUUGCAGACACAGCCCUGGGCACGUUUGGAGCAGCCUACGGGGCAGCAGCUCUUCUUGCAGGAGGUGCACUUGCAGUUCUUGCAGCUGCAGGAGCUAGAGCACGAGCAGGAGCCGCUGGUGGAGCAGGAGCCGCUGGGGUCCACUCUGAGAUCUGGUGAAGCUGGAGCUACAGAGUAAGUGAUGAGAAGGCAGUCAGGCUGCUGAAGUCUUGGUCUUUGUUUUUUUGACUCAGGGUUUCACUGUGUGGUCUUAGCUAUCAUAGAACUUUCUACAUAACUCAAGCUACUCUUAAACUUGUAAGCCUGCCCUUAAACUCCUUCUCUUGCCUUCUAAGAACUGGAGUUACGGGUGUGAGAGCCUUGAAUCAAUUUAACUUUUGUUUUGAUCUUUGAGACAACAUUUCUCUGUGUAGUUUUUCUGGGUGCUGGAAUUAAAGGUGUGUACCAUCACUA
RNAcentral lists this long non-coding RNA (902 nucleotides) under Rattus norvegicus (Norway rat). RNAcentral's name for it is "long non-coding RNA NONRATT003165". Lineage: Eukaryota; Metazoa; Chordata; Mammalia; Rodentia; Muridae. The record is from RNAcentral.